Molecule: ribosomal RNA, 464 nt
Filed under: Microbacterium sp. TW19A
Lineage: Bacteria; Bacillati; Actinomycetota; Actinomycetes; Micrococcales; Microbacteriaceae
Description: bacterial SSU rRNA
Rfam family: Bacterial small subunit ribosomal RNA
Source: RNAcentral
GGUGGGGGGUGCUUACCAUGCAGUCGACGAUGAAGCCCCUGCUUGCGGGGGUGGAUUAGUGGCGAACGGGUGAGUAACACGUGAGCAACCUGCCCCUGACUCUGGGAUAAGCGCUGGAAACGGUGUCUAAUACUGGAUAUGUGCCACGGCCGCAUGGUCUGUGGUUGGAAAGAUUUUUCGGUUGGGGAUGGGCUCGCGGCCUAUCAGCUUGUUGGUGAGGUAAUGGCUCACCAAGGCGUCGACGGGUAGCCGGCCUGAGAGGGUGACCGGCCACACUGGGACUGAGACACGGCCCAGACUCCUACGGGAGGCAGCAGUGGGGAAUAUUGCACAAUGGGCGGAAGCCUGAUGCAGCAACGCCGCGUGAGGGAUGACGGCCUUCGGGUUGUAAACCUCUUUUAGCAGGGAAGAAGCGAGAGUGACGGUACCUGCAGAAAAAGCACCGGCUAACUACGUGCCAGACC